AGCAGCAGCCGCGGGAAUACGAAGGGUGCAAGCGUUACUCGGAAUUACUGGGCGUAAAGCGUGCGUAGGUGGUGGUUUAAGUCCGUUGUGAAAGCCCUGGGCUCAACCUGGGAAUUGCAGUGGAUACUGGGUCACUAGAGUGUGGUAGAGGAUAGUGGAAUUUCCGGUGUAGCAGUGAAAUGCGUAGAGAUCGGAAGGAACAUCUGUGGCGAAGGCGACUAUCUGGGCCAACACUGACACUGAGGCACGAAAGCGUGGGGAGCAAACAGGAUUAGAUACCCCCGUGUCCCUGUCUCUUAUACA
This 303-nucleotide ribosomal RNA is filed under the name uncultured bacterium. RNAcentral's name for it is "partial 16S ribosomal RNA". It matches the Rfam family "Bacterial small subunit ribosomal RNA", at positions 507 to 808 of the family's 1533-position model. The record is from RNAcentral.